UAGAGACCCAACUGGACAUGGUGCUUAGC
This 29-nucleotide non-coding RNA is filed under the name Rattus norvegicus (Norway rat). The record is from RNAcentral. Lineage: Eukaryota; Metazoa; Chordata; Mammalia; Rodentia; Muridae.